Molecule: transfer RNA, 72 nt
Filed under: Ovis aries (sheep)
Lineage: Eukaryota; Metazoa; Chordata; Mammalia; Artiodactyla; Bovidae
Rfam family: tRNA
About the family: Transfer RNA (tRNA) molecules are approximately 80 nucleotides in length. Their secondary structure includes four short double-helical elements and three loops (D, anti-codon, and T loops).
Source: Rfam by way of RNAcentral
UCCUUGGUGGCUCAGAUGGUAAAGCAUCUGCCUGCAAUGUGGCAGACCCAGGUUCAAUCCCUGGGUUGGGAA